This 482-nucleotide ribosomal RNA is filed under the name uncultured bacterium. RNAcentral's name for it is "partial 16S ribosomal RNA". It matches the Rfam family "Bacterial small subunit ribosomal RNA", at positions 29 to 507 of the family's 1533-position model. The record is from RNAcentral.
AUUGAACGCUGGCGGCAUGCCUUACACAUGCAAGUCGAACGGUAACAGGUCUUCGGAUGCUGACGAGUGGCGAACGGGUGAGUAAUACAUCGGAAAGUGCCCGAUCGUGGGGGAUAACGAAGCGAAAGCUUUGCUAAUACCGCAUACGAUCUACGGAUGAAAGCCGGGGACCGCAAGGCCUUGCGCGAACGGAGCGGCCGAUGGCGGCGUAGGUAGUUGGUGGGAUAAAAGCUUACCAAGCCGACGAUCUGUAGCUGGUCUGAGAGGACGAUCAGCCACACUGGGACUGGGACACGGCCCAGACGCCUACGGGAGGCAGCAGUGGGGAAUGUUGGACAAUGGGCGAAAGCCUGAUCCAGCCAGGCCGCGUGCAGGAUGAAGGCCUUCGGGUUGUAAACUGCGUUUGUACGGAACGAAAAGACUCUGGUUAAUACCUGGGGUCCAUGACGGUACCGGAAGAAUAAGCACCGGCUAACUACGUG